UACGGAGGAUGCAAGCGUUGUCCGGAUUGAUUGGGUUUAAAGGGUGCGUAGGCGGCCUAUUAAGUUGGUGGUAAAAACGUUCGCCUUAACCGGAUACCCGCCAUUGAUACUGAUAGACUUGAGUGCGACAGAGGGUGUUGGAAGGUGUGGUGUAGCGGUGAAAUGCUUAGAUAUCACGCAGAACACCAAUUGCGAAGGCUGAUGCCUAUGUCGUAACUGACGCUGAGGCACGAAAGCGUGGGGAGCAAACAGG
RNAcentral lists this ribosomal RNA (253 nucleotides) under uncultured bacterium. RNAcentral describes it as "partial 16S ribosomal RNA". It matches the Rfam family "Bacterial small subunit ribosomal RNA", at positions 524 to 776 of the family's 1533-position model. The record is from RNAcentral.